Long non-coding RNA from Rhinopithecus roxellana (golden snub-nosed monkey), 784 nucleotides. RefSeq lists it as uncharacterized. The transcript has 3 exons. NCBI's taxonomy places the organism in Eukaryota, Metazoa, Chordata, Mammalia, Primates, Cercopithecidae. The record is from RefSeq and is a predicted model, not a curated record.
AGGAAUGCUGCAUGGCCUCCCCAGAGCGGAGGUGGGAGCCUCGGCCGGGGAGAGCCCGCUCGGGGGCAGGAAGUGGCCCGGCCCUCCUCGUGGAGGGUGUUUCCGGAGCGCUUACUGUGCUCCUCGCCGGAGAGGGGUCGUUACCGAGGGGGAACUUCUGUAAAUCGUGACUUUUGUCAUUUCGCGCCCCCCACAAGAUGUCCUGCCGGCGGUGCGAUUGCUCCCGUUGCUUCGAGGGGAAACUGAGGCCGGUUAGUCCGGGCACUUACCCUCAGCUGGUAAAGGACUGGGCUCUGAUGGGGACGCCUGUUACGACCUCAAGGGCCUGUAGAGUCUGGGAGGCCGCCUCCGACCUAAGCCCAAAAAACACAUGGUCGGGCUCACAGGGGGCGGCCAGAGGUGAAAACUGCCAGUGCUUUGCAGCGACGCUGUGCGGGGCACUUCGUGUGUGUCAUCCCGUCUCAUCCUCGGGUGAUGGGAACUGUUCAUUCGGGAAAAUUGCAAACAGCUAAGUACCCCUCACCAGGAGCUGGCCCAUUAUAGCAACUCUGAGACCUCUCUACUACAGGCUCUUAAAAUGGGUGAUUCUGUCCAAGAUAAGUACUCCAGAGAAAUUCUCCCAUGUCGUGGCAGAAAGACAUGCACCAGUGUUGAUGAAACGCUGAAAACACCAAAAAGGCCUGGGCACAGUGGCUCACGCCUGUAAUCCCAGCACUUUGGGAGGCCCAGGCAGGCGGAUCACCGGAGGUCGGGAGUUCGAGACCAGCCUGACCAACAUGGAGAA